RNAcentral lists this ribosomal RNA (468 nucleotides) under uncultured bacterium. RNAcentral describes it as "partial 16S ribosomal RNA". It matches the Rfam family "Bacterial small subunit ribosomal RNA", at positions 28 to 507 of the family's 1533-position model. The record is from RNAcentral.
GACGAACGCUGGCGGCGUGCUUAACACAUGCAAGUCGAACGGAAAGGCCCUGCUUUUGUGGGGUGCUCGAGUGGCGAACGGGUGAGUAACACGUGAGUAAACUGCCCUUGACAGUGGGAUAACUUCAGGGAACUGGGGCUAAUACCGGAUAGGAGCUCCUGAUGCAUGGUGGGGGUUGGUAAGUUUCGGCGGUUGGGGAUGGACUCGCGGCUUAUCAGCUUGUUGGUGGGGUAGUGGCUUACCAAGGCUUUGACGGGUAGCCGGCCUGAGAGGGUGACCGGCCACAUUGGGACUGAGAUACGGCCCAGACUCCUACGGGAGGCAGCAGGGGGGAAUAUUGCACAAUGGGCGGAAGCCUGAUGCAGCAACGCCGCGUGCGUGAUGACGGCCUUCGGGUUGUAAACCGCUUUCGCCUGUGACGAAGCGUGAGUGACGGUAAUGGGUAAAGAAGCACCGGCUAACUACGUG